Molecule: ribosomal RNA, 258 nt
Filed under: uncultured soil bacterium
Lineage: Bacteria
Description: partial 16S ribosomal RNA
Rfam family: Bacterial small subunit ribosomal RNA
Source: RNAcentral
AGGACGAACGCUGGCGGCGUGCCUAACACAUGCAAGUCGAACGGGACCAGGGGCAACUCUGGUUCAGUGGCGGACGGGUGCGUAACACGUGAGGAACAUGACCUUCGGCGGGGGAUAGCCGGCCCAACGGCCGGGUAAUACCGCGUACGACCACAUGGGGACAUCCCUGAGUGGUGAAAGCAGCAAUGCGCCGAUGGAGUGCCUCGCGGCCUAUCAGCUAGUUGUGAGGUAACGCUCACCAAGGCAACGACGGGUAGC